RNAcentral lists this small nuclear RNA (18 nucleotides) under Arabidopsis thaliana (thale cress). Its description in RNAcentral is "snRNA_05910". Lineage: Eukaryota; Viridiplantae; Streptophyta; Magnoliopsida; Brassicales; Brassicaceae. The record is from RNAcentral.
AAGUUCCCUGGAAAGGGG